This is a long non-coding RNA of Halichondria panicea, 536 nucleotides long. RefSeq lists it as uncharacterized. The record is from RefSeq and is a predicted model, not a curated record. The transcript has 3 exons. Lineage: Eukaryota; Metazoa; Porifera; Demospongiae; Suberitida; Halichondriidae.
GUCUGUUAUCUAGAUAGAUAUAAUUAAUUAUAGCUAGUACAUAGCUACUCUUUUAGGACAACCACGUAUCAACUUGCUGUCAGCACUGACCGUACCAUUUAUAGAAGUGUCCCAAGCUAACAAGUAAAUUGUUCCAUAGCCACCUCUGCACAAGAAUCACCUACCAGCAGUCAUGUUUGUCGAAUGUUAAUAUCUGUCCUAGAUUCUAGAACAUAAUUAGACUCUAUUUGGUUGUCCGAUGAUUCUUAUUUCAAAUGGGAACAGUUUUUGGAUACUGGAAUUGGGAUACAGUACCAACCUUACCUCUUCAAUUUGCUCUGACAACGCUUCAGCAGAUCUAUUCCUCUACUGGAAAACCCUGGAAAAUCCGGGAUCCUAAGAACAGAAGGAAAACUGCUGUUUUACAUAUUUGGAUUUAUGCUAUUGCAAACAGGAAUUUUCUUCGCAAAUGCACUAUUGAGCAGUGACGAAACUGUAUGCUAAGUUACAGUCAUUUUUCCCCGAGUGAAGACCAGUGACACGUUAUUCCACUAAUC